This 429-nucleotide ribosomal RNA is filed under the name Bacteroidota bacterium. Its description in RNAcentral is "Bacteroidetes bacterium partial 16S ribosomal RNA". It matches the Rfam family "Bacterial small subunit ribosomal RNA", at positions 355 to 776 of the family's 1533-position model. The record is from RNAcentral. Lineage: Bacteria; Pseudomonadati; Bacteroidota.
UAGGGAAUCUUCGGCAAUGGGGGGAACCCUGACCGAGCAACGCCGCGUGAGUGAAGAAGGUUUUCGGAUCGUAAAGCUCUGUUGUUAAGGAAGAACGAGUGUGAGAAUGGAAAGUUCAUACUGUGACGGUACUUAACCAGAAAGGGACGGCUAACUACGUGCCAGCAGCCGCGGUAAUACGUAGGUCCCGAGCGUUGUCCGGAUUUAUUGGGCGUAAAGCGAGCGCAGGCGGUUAGAUAAGUCUGAAGUUAAAGGCAGUGGCUCAACCAUUGUAGGCUUUGGAAACUGUUUAACUUGAGUGCAGAAGAGGAGAGUGGAAUUCCAUGUGUAGCGGUGAAAUGCGUAGAUAUAUGGAGGAACACCGGUGGCGAAAGCGGCUAUCUGGUCUGUAACUGACGAUGAGGCUCGAAAGCGUGGGGAGCGAACAGG